This 253-nucleotide ribosomal RNA is filed under the name uncultured bacterium. RNAcentral's name for it is "partial 16S ribosomal RNA". It matches the Rfam family "Bacterial small subunit ribosomal RNA", at positions 524 to 776 of the family's 1533-position model. The record is from RNAcentral.
UACGUAGGGUGCAAGCGUUGUCCGGAAUUAUUGGGCGUAAAGAGCUCGUAGGCGGUUUGUCGCGUCUGCCGUGAAAGUCCGGGGCUCAACCCCGGAUCUGCGGUGGGUACGGGCAGACUAGAGUGAUGUAGGGGAGACUGGAAUUCCUGGUGUAGCGGUGAAAUGCGCAGAUAUCAGGAGGAACACCGAUGGCGAAGGCAGGUCUCUGGGCAUUAACUGACGCUGAGGAGCGAAAGCAUGGGGAGCGAACAGG